UAUUUAAAGUGUUUUUACUAUUUUCUUAAGAUAGGAAAUAUACACUAAAAAGCUAAAAAUAAUAUAUGCCUAAAUUUAGAGAAAGCCCUGCCAAGUGAACAGAGUAAUGACAACUUCAAAAAGAUACACAUCUUAAGAGCUGGGCAUAGUAACUCCUACCUACAAUCCUAGGAGGUGAGGACUGGGAGAUCAUGGUUCAAGGCCAGCACAGACACAAAGUCAAACCCUACUAAGCAAAUAAAUUGGGCAUGGUGGGAGGUGUAGAUAAGAGGAUGGCAACUGGAGGUUGGUCUGGGAAUAACUGUGAACCCCCAUCUAAAGCUAGAGAGGCUGGUAGUGUUGCUCAAAUGUUUUCCUGGCUUAAAAUUAGGACCAAUCAUUCCUAAUAGCACAUCCCAUAAAGGGUGGUCCCUCUGAACACUGGGCAUCCCCAUGAUGACAUAAACGAGUCAA
This is a long non-coding RNA of Perognathus longimembris pacificus (Pacific pocket mouse), 453 nucleotides long. RefSeq lists it as uncharacterized. NCBI's taxonomy places the organism in Eukaryota, Metazoa, Chordata, Mammalia, Rodentia, Heteromyidae. The transcript is spliced from 2 exons. The record is from RefSeq and is a predicted model, not a curated record.